AUUGAACGCUGGCGGCAGGCCUAACACAUGCAAGUCGAGCGGAAACGAUGGUAGCUUGCUACCAGGCGUCGAGCGGCGGACGGGUGAGUAACGCGUGAGAAUCUGCCCAUUUGUGGGGGAUAACUCGGGGAAACUCGAGCUAAUACCGCAUAAUCCCUACGGGGGAAAGCAGGGGACCUUCGGGCCUUGUGCAGAUGGAUGAGCUCGCGUCGGAUUAGCUUGUUGGUGAGGUAAAGGCUCACCAAGGCGACGAUCCGUAGCUGGUCUGAGAGGAUGAUCAGCCACACCGGGACUGAGACACGGCCCGGACUCCUACGGGAGGCAGCAGUGGGGAAUCUUGGACAAUGGGGGCAACCCUGAUCCAGCCAUGCUGCGUGUGUGAAGAAGGCCUUCGGGUUGUAAAGCACUUUCAGUAGGGAGGAAGGCUUACCGCUAAUAACGGUGAGUACUUGACGUUACCUACAGAAGAAGCACCGCUAAUUU
This 483-nucleotide ribosomal RNA is filed under the name uncultured bacterium. RNAcentral describes it as "bacterial SSU rRNA". It matches the Rfam family "Bacterial small subunit ribosomal RNA", at positions 30 to 503 of the family's 1533-position model. The record is from RNAcentral.